CCUACGGGAGGCAGCAGUGGGGAAUAUUGCACAAUGGGGGCAACUUUGAUGCAGCAACGCCGCGUGGGUGAAGAAGUACUUCGGUAUGUAAAGCUCUGUUAGCAGGGAAGAAAAUGACGGUACCUGACCAUGAAGCCCCGGCUAACUACGUGCCAGCAGCCGCGGUAAUACGUAGGGGGCAAGCGUUAUCCGGAUUUACUGGGUGUAAAGGGAGCUUAGACGGCAAGGCAAGUCUGGAGUGAAAGCCCGUGGCCCAACCGCGGGACUGCCUGGGAAACUGUGUUGCUGGAGUGCAGGAGGGGUAAGCGGAAUGCCUAGUGUAGCGGUGAAAUGCGUAGAUAUUAGGAGGAACACCGGUGGCGAAGGCGGCUUACUGGACUGUAACUGACGUUGAGGCUCGAAGGCGUGGGGAGCAAACAGGAUUAGAUACCCGUGUAGUC
Molecule: ribosomal RNA, 440 nt
Filed under: uncultured bacterium
Lineage: Bacteria
Description: partial 16S ribosomal RNA
Rfam family: Bacterial small subunit ribosomal RNA
Source: RNAcentral